GGGCGCAUAGCUCAGCGGGAGAGCACUGCCUUCACACGGCAGUGGUCGCAGGUUCGAUCCCUGCUGCGCCCACCA
RNAcentral lists this transfer RNA (75 nucleotides) under Deltaproteobacteria bacterium HGW-Deltaproteobacteria-4. RNAcentral's name for it is "tRNA-Val". It matches the Rfam family "tRNA". From Rfam's summary of the family: Transfer RNA (tRNA) molecules are approximately 80 nucleotides in length. Their secondary structure includes four short double-helical elements and three loops (D, anti-codon, and T loops). Lineage: Bacteria; Deltaproteobacteria. The record is from RNAcentral.